RNAcentral lists this unclassified non-coding RNA (320 nucleotides) under uncultured Venturiales. RNAcentral's name for it is "sequence contains ITS1". The stretch from base 1 to 104 matches the Rfam family "5.8S ribosomal RNA", at positions 50 to 154 of the family's 154-position model. Lineage: Eukaryota; Fungi; Ascomycota; Dothideomycetes. The record is from RNAcentral.
GAAACGCGAAAGGUAAUGCGAAUUGCAGAAUCAGUGAGUCAUCGAAUCUUUGAACGCACAUUGCGCCUCUCGGUAUUCCGGGAGGCACGCCUGUUCGAGCGCCAUUACACACCCCAAGCCUGGCUUGAUGUUGGACGUUGUCUGUGAAAGGACAGGUCUGGAACGCGUGGGCGCCGCCGCCGGACCACGAGCGUAGCAAGACGCAAGUCAUCGCUCUGUGGACUCUGGUGGACGGUGGCCUUGAUGCUGGGUAACACCGACAUCGAAACACACUUACAAAGUUUGGCCUCGGAUCAGGCGGGGAUACCCGCUGAACUUAA